GAAAUGCGAUAAGUAAUGUGAAUUGCAGAAUUCAGUGAAUCAUCGAAUCUUUGAACGCACAUUGCGCCCUUUGGCAUUCCGAGGGGCAUGCCUGUUCGAGCGUCAUCUAAACCUUCAAGCCCUGCUUGGUGUUGGGUGCCUGUCCCGCCUCCGCGCGCGGACUCACCUCAAAUCCAUUGGCGGCCCCCGCGUCGGCCACGAGCGCAGCAGAAACGCGAACUCGUGAGCCCGUCCGGGCGGCUCCCAGAAGCUACACCCACCCAGUUUGACCUCGGAUCAGGUAGGGAUACCCGCUGAACUUAAGC
This 305-nucleotide unclassified non-coding RNA is filed under the name plant metagenome. Its description in RNAcentral is "partial contains 5.8S ribosomal RNA, internal transcribed spacer 2, and large subunit ribosomal RNA". The stretch from base 1 to 105 matches the Rfam family "5.8S ribosomal RNA", at positions 50 to 154 of the family's 154-position model. The record is from RNAcentral.